UGGGGAAUAUUGGACAAUGGGGGCAACCCUGAUCCAGCGAUGCCGCGUGGGUGAAGAAGGCCUUCGGGUUGUAAAGCCCUUUAGGAUGGGAAGAAGUUUGCAUACAGAUAAUGUAUGUAAGUUGACGGUACCAUCAGAAUAAGCACCGGCAAACUCUGUGCCAGCAGCCGCGGUAAUACAGAGGGUGCAAGCGUUAAUCGGAGUUACUGGGCGUAAAGGGCGCGUAGGCGGUUAUACGUGUGUGAUGUGAAAGCCCCGGGCUUAACCUGGGAAGUGCAUCGCAAACUGUAUGACUAGAGUACAGGAGAGGGUGGCGGAAUUUCCGGUGUAGCGGUGAAAUGCGUAGAGAUCGGAAGGAACGUCGAUGGCGAAGGCAGCCACCUGGCCUGAUACUGACGCUGAGGCGCGAAAGCGUGGGGAGCGAACAGG
This 429-nucleotide ribosomal RNA is filed under the name uncultured bacterium. RNAcentral describes it as "bacterial SSU rRNA". It matches the Rfam family "Bacterial small subunit ribosomal RNA", at positions 355 to 776 of the family's 1533-position model. The record is from RNAcentral.